AUGGAAUCAUCGGUGCCAAUGGCUGUGUCGACGUGCACCUCCGAGACGGCGACGGGCAAGCACGUGUUCAGGAUCGCCGACUACCAUAUACGCAAGGGUUUGGGCGUCGGCGAGUACAUACAGUCCGCCACCUUCGCCAUCGGCGGCUACGACUGGCGCGUUCGCUACUACCCCAAUGGAGCCAUAUUCCCGGAGUGCAGCGGCUAUGUCUCGGUCUACCUCGAGCUCCUCACCAGGGACGCCAAGGUCAGGGCGGACUACGAGUUCAGGCUCAUCGACUCGGGUAGCACGCCACCGCCGUCGCCAGUGACACAUCUGUUUACUAACAAGUACAACACAGUCGACCCGGAUGAAGCACCUGCUAACUAUGGAGCUCCCAGGUUUAUGAAACAGCAGGAGAUAAAACCGUACCUGCGGGACGACUGCCUGGAGAUUGAGUGUGAAGUCCUCGUUAUCAAUGCUAUAACAAAACUUGAGGUGCAGGAGGUGCCGCCCUCGGACCUGCCGAAUCAUCUCGGAAAAUUGCUGGAUGGCAAGAGAGGAGCAGAUGUGACUUUUGAGGUUAAAGGCGAGGUUUUCUCUGCUCACAAGAUUAUGCUCGCCACGCGAUCGCCGGUCUUCGACGCUCAACUCUAUGGACCCCUGAGCGAUGCUGAUGCUACGAGUAAGAACAUAAUCGUCAAAGACAUGGAGCCCCCUGUUUUCAAGGCGUUGCUUCACUUCAUCUACACGGAUUCUCUGCCUGCUAUGGAUGACGUUGAUGAUGGUGAGAGUGAAGACAUGGUUAAGCACUUGCUCGUGGCUGCGGAUAGAUAUGCCAUGGACAGGAUGAAGUUGAUGUGUGAAGAUAUUCUAUGCAAGAGCCUUGAUGUCGAGACUGCGGCGACCACGUUGGCUCUAGCUGAUCAGCAUCACUGCAGCAAGCUGAAAGAUGCUUGUGUUGAAUAUAUCCUCUCUUCAAACAGACUGAAUGCUAUGGUGGCAAGCAAAGGGUACGCACACCUCAAAAGAUCAUGUCCUGCUCUCAUGUUUGAUGUCUUUGAGAGGGCUACCAAGUCUCGGAAAAUUUAA
Molecule: ribosomal RNA, 1071 nt
Filed under: Triticum aestivum (bread wheat)
Lineage: Eukaryota; Viridiplantae; Streptophyta; Magnoliopsida; Poales; Poaceae
Description: partial small subunit ribosomal RNA
Source: RNAcentral